GUAACUGGGCACUUUCAACACAAGCAAACAAGACCACACAACUGUAUGAUGCCUAGCAAAAUGUAAAAUAUGUAACUGGGCACUUUCAACACAAGCAAACAAGACCACACAACUGUAUGAUGAUUAGCAAAAUGUAAAAUAUACACCUUUCACUUACUGGAAGUAUUUCACUUUGGCAUAAAUGUGAGUUACAUCUCUAGCAUCAAAAGAUUGGUAACACAGACCACUGAUAUCACUUCCAAGACUGUGUUUUCUUUGUCAUAUUAGUUUCUGUUUGUUGAAAAACACAGAUUUAGUUUUGUUGAUAUAUGCAAGGUAAUGAACAAUUUAAUGAGGCAGAGACCACAUAUUUUUAACCAGAAUUUCAUCAUCAUCCACUACUACAUUUAAAUCUUAUAGAUCGUCAACUAUUUGUUCAUUCGUUUGUCCACAGAAAGGUGACAGAGGAACAGGUCAUACUGGGAGCAGUAGGUCUGUGACUUGGAUGCAGCACAGUUACUGAUUUGAUGCCAUUAAGGCACAAAGCUUUGAAAUGAUUAAAAUGGUGAGUGAAUGUAAAUACUGGAAGUGUUAUUUCUUUAUACUAAAACCUGCUACUUUAAAUUAUGUUUCAGAAAUAUCUUGAGCACCUCGACUUGAAAAAUAACAGGAAUACCAUCUAGAAUAUUACAAGUGAGGACAGUCACUCAAUGAUAAUCCAUGAGCUUAGGCUGAAGGAAAAAAAUUCUAUAUAUGUAAUAAAAGUUGAUUGUAAUGUGUGAUGUUGUAGACAUACAAUAAUCUGUUUUGUGCUAUCUUUUACAUAAUGAAUUUGGUGACAACAUGUGGAUCAAAACUGAAAUGAGCAAAGAAUACCAACCAAAUUUAAGACCCAAAAACCAGAAAGAGCCACGACCAGCGGUGGAACACACGCAAGUUUGAAAAAUUUGUUCCAAAUGCACACUAAUAGUGAUUUUUUUUUCUUUUUUCUUUUUGUUGUUGUUGAUUGUAGAUGUACAUAUAUGUUCCUGUCUCCCGCUAAAAAUGAACCAUCCCAACUAGCAAAUUUUAGUUUGUUAUUUAGAACUUUUUUAAUUGCAUUAAUUAAGAGCCACCUGCACUUUGAGAGGACUAGAACUGUUGAGAUUUUAUUAUUCAUUCAAUAAAAAGAUUAAUAUGUGGGGUAUGUGAAAUGUGUGUACAUGUUUGUUUUGCUCAUACUUGUACAAAUGUUUCAUGUAACCUGGCGAGGCGAA
Schistocerca americana (American grasshopper) is the source of this 1235-nucleotide long non-coding RNA. RefSeq lists it as uncharacterized. Lineage: Eukaryota; Metazoa; Arthropoda; Insecta; Orthoptera; Acrididae. The transcript is spliced from 3 exons. The record is from RefSeq and is a predicted model, not a curated record.